Molecule: ribosomal RNA, 447 nt
Filed under: uncultured bacterium
Lineage: Bacteria
Description: partial 16S ribosomal RNA
Rfam family: Bacterial small subunit ribosomal RNA
Source: RNAcentral
CCCAGACUCCUACGGGAGGCAGCAGUGGGGGAUAUUGCACAAUGGGGGAAACCCUGAUGCAGCGACGCCGCGUGAGUGAAGAAGUAAUUCGUUACGUAAAGCUCUAUCAGCAGGGAAGAAAAUGACGGUACCUGACUAAGAAGCCCCGGCUAACUACGUGCCAGCAGCCGCGGUAAUACGUAGGGGGCAAGCGUUAUCCGGAAUUACUGGGUGUAAAGGGAGCGCAGACGGCAGUGCAAGUCUGGAGUGAAAGCCCGUGGCUUAACUACGGGACUGCUUUUGAAACUGUACAGCUUGAUUGCAGGAGAGGCAAGUGGAAUUCCUAGUGUAGCGGUGAAAUGCGUAGAUAUUAGGAGGAACACCAGUGGCGAAGGCGGCUUGCUGGACUGUAAAUGACGCUGAGGCUCGAAAGCGUGGGGAGCAAACAGGAUUAGAUACCCCAGUAUU